Vicia faba (fava bean) is the source of this 192-nucleotide non-coding RNA. The record is from the annotation of a GenBank genome assembly. Lineage: Eukaryota; Viridiplantae; Streptophyta; Magnoliopsida; Fabales; Fabaceae.
AUGAAGUUGCAGUCUUUCAAUAAAAGUCUUGCGGAGGAGUUAUGGGUAGCCAAAGAUGUUGAUUGGUCUCACUGUGAUUCCAUGGGUGCGUCGGAAGGUAUUGUUACCCUUUGGAGGAGAAAUGUUAUAAGUCAUGUGUGCAUCUUUAAAGGAGAAGGAUAUGUUGGAAAAGUGAGAUGUACAAUUUCAUAA